RNAcentral lists this transfer RNA (69 nucleotides) under Macroscelides proboscideus (short-eared elephant shrew). Its description in RNAcentral is "tRNA-Ile". The record is from RNAcentral. Lineage: Eukaryota; Metazoa; Chordata; Mammalia; Macroscelidea; Macroscelididae.
AGAAAUAUGUCUGAUUAAAGAGUUACUUUGAUAGAGUAAAUCAAAGAGGUUUAAGCCCUCUUAUUUCUA